Ahaetulla prasina is the source of this 577-nucleotide long non-coding RNA. RefSeq lists it as uncharacterized. Lineage: Eukaryota; Metazoa; Chordata; Lepidosauria; Squamata; Colubridae. The record is from RefSeq and is a predicted model, not a curated record. The transcript is spliced from 3 exons.
GGCUGCCGAAGGAACGCCCGCGCAAUACCCUCUCUCGAACCCUUCGUCACGUUUCCUUACCGAACUGGGUAACCUCAUCAGUUUCAAAUGAAGGGCAUCAACGGGGCCUUUGAAAGAGAAGUUCUCGUCUUCCAUGCGGGGCCCGCCAAAGUAUGCGGCAACAUCAAAACCGUCAAGUCAUCCGAAGUCUUAAAAGGCUCGGGUGGAUUUUAGACAAACUCAAUUUGCUCAAGAUGGCUCAAAGAGUGAUUACACAACAUUGUUUUCGUCUUCUUCUUCUUCAUCAUCAUCACCAAAGGGUCUUCAGACACACAGAUGCGCAACCGCAUACUUGCCUGCAAUCAAAGCCCGUGUUUUGACUUAUGGAAAAAACGGGUGCUUGGUUUUUUGUUUUUUUUUCCUUUCAUAAAACUGAGUAAUGGGAAAGACAGCGACAGGGAAAUAUUUUUCGAAGAUUGAGUUGCUGCCCUGUCUCCCAAUGUAGACAUGUAGAGGCAACACACACACACAUACACACACACACAGGGAGAAAAAGAGGGGGAGAGAGAGAGAGAAAGAAAGAGAGAUAAAGAGUAAU